CCGGAGGAAGGUGGGGAUGACGUCAAAUCAUCAUGCCCCUUAUGAUUUGGGCUACACACGUGCUACAAUGGACAAUACAAAGGGCAGCGAAACCGUGAGGUCAAGCAAAUCCCAUAAAGUUGUUCUCAGUUCGGAUUGUAGUCUGCAACUCGACUACAUGAAGCUGGAAUCGCUAGUAAUCGUAGAUCAGCAUGCUACGGUGAAUACGUUCCCGGGUCUUGUACACACCGCCCGUCACACCACGAGAGUUUGUAACACCCGAAGCCGGUGGAGUAACCUUUUAGGAGCUAGCCGUCGAAGGUGGGACAAAUGAUUGGGGUGAAGUCGUAACAAGGUAGCCGUAUCGGAAGGUGCGGCUGGAUCACCUCCUUU
This 372-nucleotide ribosomal RNA is filed under the name Staphylococcus aureus. Its description in RNAcentral is "bacterial SSU rRNA". It matches the Rfam family "Bacterial small subunit ribosomal RNA", at positions 1163 to 1533 of the family's 1533-position model. Lineage: Bacteria; Bacillati; Bacillota; Bacilli; Caryophanales; Staphylococcaceae. The record is from RNAcentral.